RNAcentral lists this small nuclear RNA (101 nucleotides) under Chinchilla lanigera (long-tailed chinchilla). Lineage: Eukaryota; Metazoa; Chordata; Mammalia; Rodentia; Chinchillidae. The record is from RNAcentral.
GCCUCUUCGGCAGCACGUACGCUAAAACUGGAAUGUGACAGAGAUUAGCACGGCCCCUGCACAAGGAUGGCAUGCAAAUUCGUGAAGCGUUCCACAUUUAA